GACGAACGCUGGCGGCGUGCUUAACACAUGCAAGUCGAACGGAAAGGCCCUGCUUUUGUGGGGUGCUCGAGUGGCGAACGGGUGAGUAACACGUGAGUAACCUGCCCUUGACUUUGGGAUAACUUCAGGAAACUGGGGCUAAUACCGGAUAGGAGCUCCUGCUGCAUGGUGGGGGUUGGAAAGUGUCGGCGGUUGGGGAUGGACUCGCGGCUUAUCAGCUUGUUGGUGGGGUAGUGGCUUACCAAGGCUUUGACGGGUAGCCGGCCUGAGAGGGUGACCGGCCACAUUGGGACUGAGGUACGGCCCAGACUGCUACGGGAGGCAGCAGUGGGGAAUAUUGCACAAUGGGCGGAAGCCUGAUGCAGCAACGCCGGGUGCGGGAUGACGGCCUUCGGGUUGUAAACCGCUUUCGCCUGUGACGAAGCGUGAGUGACGGUAAUGGGUAAAGAAGCACCGGCUAACUACGUG
Molecule: ribosomal RNA, 468 nt
Filed under: uncultured bacterium
Lineage: Bacteria
Description: partial 16S ribosomal RNA
Rfam family: Bacterial small subunit ribosomal RNA
Source: RNAcentral